Molecule: long non-coding RNA, 1612 nt
Filed under: Equus caballus (horse)
Lineage: Eukaryota; Metazoa; Chordata; Mammalia; Perissodactyla; Equidae
Description: lncRNA (ENSECAG00000053288.1)
Source: RNAcentral
CUAGUACAAUAGCAGGCUCUGCAGCUCCUGGAACCAGCUCGAAGAUUCUGCCAACCGCUAAGUAUUUUCUUCCCUUUGUACACUCAGGGGCUGGGAAAAUGACCACCAAGUGGGUCCCUGGCUACAAUAGGCCCAUUGUGAGAUGGACCCAGGCCAGGACCCCACUUAUGACCUGGUCCACAUGCACCCUUCCUCUACCGUAACUUGAUGGUCCUUGGAUCCCUGGCUAUCAAUGUCAAUUUGGACCCUCCAUGCGACAGCCCUUGAAAAAUCUGGGUAGCCUGCUGUGGAAUGUGCCACUCGUCUCUCUCUUCAGGAGAGAACCUGCCACGAGUCAGGGCCCCUGGCUGCCCUCCCAACCUUGCUGUCCUUUCCAGAAAUUGCACCCACCCUGCUUGUGACAGAUAAGUGCUAUCCUCUGGUCUCUGCUAUGGCAGAAUCCCAUUAUCUCCAUUGCUACUCAGGAGCUCAGUUCUGUAGCAACAUCUCCCAUUGUCAGGCCCAGCUUACAGAGGACAGCCACCCCCGGGCUUCUCGACGACGCUGCUGGGUCCUCCCCAGUCAAUUCCUUAUCACCGUGUUAAAGAGGUGGGCCCUCUUGAGGAACUUAGUCAGCUGGGGGGGUUCCAAUAUACCAGAGAAGACCCAUUCUAGCUUGCCCACUUCUCCAAACCUUUGCACACCUUCCUCCACGGUCGGCUACAGCUGUUCCAGCAUCUCCUUCACUGAAUGUCCACCAUCACUUCCUCCAAGGUUCUGAGAACCAUCUCCAAGGGCCCUUCCAGUGGCAGACCUGAGAAUCUUUCUGCAUUGCUGAACCCUUCCAUAUCCAGCUUGUAGCCAGCUUCCCGUGAUCAGGAAGCUUCAGAGUCCACUCCUAGAAAUAUUCUCCCCUUCUCCGCCAGUCCCUGCUGGUUUGCUCCUGUGGCUCCUCUGUCUCCCCCAAAAGGAGCCAGAAAGUCAGACCUUAACUGUCCGUCAUCUCAGGGUGUGAGCUGCAUCUGAUUAUCCUCGGCACGAGGGCUAACCCCCACCCUCACCCCCCAAAAUCAGCGGAAACAGAGGCCAGAGCUCUACCCCUGCACCCCCACAUGGAAGCCAGGAGCAACGCGGCGGAGGAGAGCGCCACCUGGUGGACGGCAACGGCGCGGGAAUCUGCAAGGGGUUGAAGGCGACAAACUUGAGGACGGCGUCCCAGGGAGGGUGGGGUCAAGGGGCUGGAGGGCAAAGGGUAUAAAGGGACAGGGCUUGGGAAAGUGGAGGAACCAAAUGGGGGCGCCCUGAGCCCCACCCCAGCCUGCCUCUGCCCACAUAAGGGAGCAAAUUCCAACACCGACACUUAUCCAGUCUCUGUCUCCUCCUCUGACUGUUGAGGGAAAUUUCCUGAACAUUCCAAGAAAGACUCACUUAAAAUCCAUUUGCUUUAUUCUAAGAAAAAGGGUAAGGAAAAAUUCAGAAAGGGAAGAGGGUGUCCACUCUCCAUAGCGGCUGGGGGGGCGUUGGCCCACUCCCUCAGCAUGGUCUCUCAGCUCGGGGACACCGUGGGGGGCGACUGACUCCCACCAGAGACAAUGAAAUGGUGGCUGAGUAAUGAUUCAGCCAGAGGUAGCAG